This 44-nucleotide transfer RNA is filed under the name Taenia hydatigena. RNAcentral's name for it is "partial tRNA-Lys". The record is from RNAcentral. Lineage: Eukaryota; Metazoa; Platyhelminthes; Cestoda; Cyclophyllidea; Taeniidae.
ACUCAUGUAUUCUAAGYAUAAAGAGCUGGAUUCUUACUUCAGUA